UUGGGAAUUUUGGACAAUGGGGGAAACCCUGAUCCAGCGAUGCCGCGUGAGUGAUGAAGGCCUUCGGGUCGUAAAGCUCUUUCAGCGGGGAAGAAGGGAAACUUGACGGUACCCGCAGAAGAAGCACCGGCUAACUCCGUGCCAGCAGCCGCGGUAAUACGGAGGGUGCAAGCGUUGUUCGGAAUCAUUGGGCGUAAAGCGCGUGUAGGCGGUCUUUUAAGUCUGGUGUGAAAGCCCGGGGCUCAACCCCGGAAGUGCACUGGAUACUGAUUGACUAGAGGACGGGAGAGGGAAGUGGAAUUCCAGGUGUAGGGGUGAAAUCCGUAGAUAUCUGGAGGAACAUCGGAAGCGAAGGCGGCUUCCUGGCCCGUAACUGACGCUGAGACGCGAAAGCGUGGGGAGCAAACAGGAUUAGAUACCCACGUAGUCCCUGAGCGGGCUGGCAAGGCGCAU
Molecule: ribosomal RNA, 453 nt
Filed under: uncultured bacterium
Lineage: Bacteria
Description: bacterial SSU rRNA
Rfam family: Bacterial small subunit ribosomal RNA
Source: RNAcentral